Varroa destructor (honeybee mite) is the source of this 637-nucleotide long non-coding RNA. NCBI's taxonomy places the organism in Eukaryota, Metazoa, Arthropoda, Arachnida, Mesostigmata, Varroidae. The record is from RefSeq and is a predicted model, not a curated record.
CGGGGUCGCCAGCAAACAGGAAUCGCGACGUCUAGAAUACGCGAAUGCGAUAUAAUAGUUUUGACGGGUGCAUCAAACAACGAAUCUUUGCAAUCAGCAGACGUAUUUCGUACUUUAACGUCGAAAGAGUACCCCAAGAUGACUCAAGCGGUAUGAAUAGACUGACCGACAUGAUAGUGAACAACGUAAUCCCUCUAGACGGGAGUAUUUUGACUACAAUCUAAUAGGUGUAUCUUCUGGCGAAUCUCUUGACAGAAUCGUAUAAAAGGUCAAAAGAGAAAAAGUGGAACGGAAUAAUGCUUUUGGAAAUACGCACAGUGAAUGUCCGCAAUUACUCUUCAACAGCAUAAUUGCGACUGAUAGGCGCUGCAACCUGUUUCGACUAUAAUAGCUAUCUCUAAUGAGCUUAGAGGAUGCAGAAAAUUCAACAAAACUCUUCUAAGCACGAACUCCGUCGGUACCUCUUUAAACGAGUCAAUCCACCGUUAACGAGAAUGUGGGUAACAACAAUAUAAACGUACAUAGUCGUUGUGGAUAAUAAGCUGGAGCAGAUCGACAUCGGGUUCUGUUGGCGGCGGCGGUGGGGGAUUGGAUCCCUUUUUUGCACUUCCCGUGGGUCGCUGGGCGGCUUGGUCUA